UACAGAGGUCCCAAGCGUUGUUCGGAUUCACUGGGCGUAAAGGGUGCGCAGGUGGGUUGGCAAGUUCGAUGUGAAAGCCCCGGGCUUAACCCGGGAAUGGCAUUGGAUACUGCUGAUCUGGAGGAUCGGAGGGGGGACUGGAAUUCUUGGUGUAGCAGUGAAAUGCGUAGAUAUCAGGAAGAACACCCGUGGCGAAAGCGGCUCUCUGGAACGGUACUGACGCUGAGACGCGAAAGCGUGGGGAGCGAACAGG
This 253-nucleotide ribosomal RNA is filed under the name uncultured bacterium. RNAcentral describes it as "partial 16S ribosomal RNA". It matches the Rfam family "Bacterial small subunit ribosomal RNA", at positions 524 to 776 of the family's 1533-position model. The record is from RNAcentral.